ACUCGGCUCUAAGGGAGAGGGCAGAGUGGGGGGGAGACCUCUGUCUGGUUCUUUAUUGUUCAAGUCUUGUAGCCUGCUAUCUCGCACUAGAAUAAGCCCUUAGUCACGAAGUUCCACCACUUUCUCACUUUCUCUUACGUCUUGCUGCAGGUCUGUCUACAGUUAAUGUGUCUGUCUAAGACUCAGACUUCUUGAGGUCAUUUAAAAACGGAUAACGAAGGAGACGUUGUGGUUUUGUAAGGGCCAUGGAUUCCGGCGUGGCUCUGCUGGAGGGGGACUUGAAGGGCCACCAGUAAACAGAUUGGCCCGGGGGCAGCCCCUACACACCGUAAAAGCCACAGCCGCGGUGAAGAUGGUCUUCAGCAGAUGCCUUCCAGAACAGUCCAUCUUCAGCGUCAGAUGGAGCGUAUUACCUACGUUGACAUCUCACACGAUAGAAAGAAGUAAACGAUCAAAUACAAAAAUAAUAUGUUGAUCUACUAAGCAGAGUGUUCCAGCAUAAGCUCCAUACAUGGUUUGUUGUGUUGAGUUCAACGUACACAUAAUAAAAAACGACUUUCGGCCCAGAGAACUAGAUAACAACGCCAAAAGUCAUUCAACACGACAGUACUGUUGGCAAAAUCAGGAAAGGCAUCACUGCGAAUCGUUUAAACAAGCUUGCCACUUUCAACAGUGAACCAGGAACUAA
Gadus chalcogrammus (walleye pollock) is the source of this 688-nucleotide long non-coding RNA. RefSeq lists it as uncharacterized. Lineage: Eukaryota; Metazoa; Chordata; Actinopteri; Gadiformes; Gadidae. The record is from RefSeq and is a predicted model, not a curated record. The transcript is spliced from 3 exons.